Long non-coding RNA from Solea solea (common sole), 1442 nucleotides. RefSeq lists it as uncharacterized. The transcript has 2 exons. The record is from RefSeq and is a predicted model, not a curated record. NCBI's taxonomy places the organism in Eukaryota, Metazoa, Chordata, Actinopteri, Pleuronectiformes, Soleidae.
CACACUUACACACACACACACACACAGUGAGUGUGGCGGUGGGGACACGCGGCCAUGCAGCAGACGCAGUCACGGACUCACAUGAGGCCGCGAUGAAGAAGAGGAGCGACGUCCUCGCGUCAUCAUCGUCAUCGGUGUGUGUGUGGCGGACAAAAUGGACACCUCGGGCAGCCAUCUUGGUUUCAGUGUGGGAGCAGAGGGACCGUACCAUGCUGGAAGAGGGGGGGGGACGAGAAGUGGACAUUAGCUCCUCUUUAACUUGUUUCAGAAUACAUUCAUGUGAAGAAAAAGAUGUAAAAAUGUGUGCGAGGGUCCAAAAUGUCAAGAACGCAUCGUGUUAGAGCAGCUAAUUCAGUUUUUACUUUAUUCCAAGUGAAUUUACAAGCAGGGGUCUCAAACUCAGGUGACCUCAGGGGUCAGGAGGGGGCCGCUCCAAAUUAAGUAAAGUCCAACUUUUUGGGGAAAAAGCAGUCAGUGUGGGUGAUGUGGGCUCAUGACUAUAUCACCAUAAUGAUAUUGGACAAUAUUUCAAAGUAUAUCGUAAAUAUUCAGUAGUUCACAAUAAAAUAUAUACACGUGAUGCAAAGUUAAUGUGUAAAUAUGAUAUAUAAAGAUAUACCUCCAGGUCACACACGUCAAAGAAAUUUAAAAUUUGGCUCAUUUUCUCUUUUUAAAAACUUUAUUUGAGCAUAAAAUCUAAAUUUAAAAACCAAAAAAUAAUUAAUAGCUUUGCAUUUUGGACUCUCGCACUUGUAAAAGCUGUAUUUCCUCUACUUUCAUGUACAAAAGGGUUUAAAGUGCUAUAUUUUCCACUUUUGAACAACUGCUAUACUUCCCGUUCACUUCAUCAGUCAGUCGACGACACCACCUCUGCGCCAAGUCUCCUCCUCCCUCUGCGUUAAGUCUCCUCCUCCCUCUGCGUUAAGUCUCCUCCUCCCUCUGCGUGAAGUCUCCUCCUCCCUCUGCGUUAAGUCUCCUCCUCCCUCUGCGUUAAGUCUCCUCCUCCCUCUGCGUGAAGUCUCCUUCUCGUCGACUUCCCGACUUGGCUGAGAUGUUUGAACGGGAGAGGCGGCCAUCUUGGCUCUGGGGGGGGGCUGCAGCAGCAGUUGCUCAGUAGUCAGUGUAGAUCCUGUGGGGCUGACAGCAGCUACAUCUGGCUACUGGGUCUCUGCUGGCAGCCGCUGCAUCGUCUUCAACACAUUGCUGGUGUUCUUCUUUGAUUCUGAGCGAGUUCUGGACCUGGCAUACAGUGUAGGAUUCUGUGUGUCAGUCUACAGCUACAUUGUCUGCUGGGUUUCAGGCCCGCGCUCGCUCUCACGUCUUUAUUCGUCUUUAAAUGUAAACAAAUGUACUGUAAAUGCGUCUCAUUUGACAACUUUUUUGUGUUUAUUGACUCGUCAUAAAACAUUCUUCAAAACAAAUAAAACAAACUUUUUUUUAAA